RNAcentral lists this long non-coding RNA (210 nucleotides) under Nicotiana benthamiana. RNAcentral describes it as "long non-coding RNA (NBEN_LNC026437)". Lineage: Eukaryota; Viridiplantae; Streptophyta; Magnoliopsida; Solanales; Solanaceae. The record is from RNAcentral.
AAAUUCCAAAAACGAGAACCAUUUCUCUUUCAACUAAAAGAGCCACAACGCGCACAAGCACACAACAUAGAUAGGAAAACGGGGACGGGAACAAAGCAGAAACAAAGGGGAAAGGAACGGGCUUGUAAACACCUUAAACGCGACGUAAAAAUGACUGAAGACCACCCCUAAACUAUCCAAAACACCCAAAUACAGUCAGUGUUAAGUGAG